RNAcentral lists this unclassified non-coding RNA (338 nucleotides) under soil metagenome. RNAcentral describes it as "partial contains 5.8S ribosomal RNA, internal transcribed spacer 2, and large subunit ribosomal RNA". The stretch from base 1 to 119 matches the Rfam family "5.8S ribosomal RNA", at positions 35 to 154 of the family's 154-position model. The record is from RNAcentral.
GAUGAAAACGUAGCGAAAUGCGAUAAGUAAUGCGAAUUGCAGAAUUCCGUGAGUCAUCGAAUCUUUGAACGCACAUUGCGCCCUCUGGUAUUCCGGAGGGCAUGCCUGUCUGAGCGUCAUUGUCAACCCUCAAGCUCAGCUUGCUGUUGGGUCCCCGUCGUUGCUUUAACGGCGGACCCGAAAGGUAAUGGCAGAGUCCGUGAGACCCUAGACGCAGCGAGCUUCUAGCACGCGUCUGGACGUUUUUCGGGCUCGGUCUUAACUAGAUGAUAACUUCCGAUUGACCUCAGAUCAGGUAGGGAUACCCGCUGAACUUAAGCAUAUCAAUAAGCGGAGGA